This 253-nucleotide ribosomal RNA is filed under the name uncultured bacterium. Its description in RNAcentral is "partial 16S ribosomal RNA". It matches the Rfam family "Bacterial small subunit ribosomal RNA", at positions 524 to 776 of the family's 1533-position model. The record is from RNAcentral.
UACGUAGGGUGCGAGCGUUAAUCGGAAUUACUGGGCGUAAAGCGUGCGCAGGCGGUCUUGCAAGACAGGUGUGAAGUCCCCGGGCUUAACCUGGGAACUGCACUUGUGACUGCAAGGCUGGAGUACGGCAGAGGGGGAUGGAAUUCCGCGUGUAGCAGUGAAAUGCGUAGAUAUGCGGAGGAACACCGAUGGCGAAGGCAAUCCCCUGGACCUGUACUGACGCUCAUGCACGAAAGCGUGGGGAGCAAACAGG